Molecule: ribosomal RNA, 1396 nt
Filed under: uncultured bacterium
Lineage: Bacteria
Description: 16S ribosomal RNA
Rfam family: Bacterial small subunit ribosomal RNA
Source: RNAcentral
AGAGUUUGAUCCUGGCUCAGAUUGAACGCUAGCGGGAUGCUUUACACAUGCAGGUCGAACGGCAGCACGAGAGAGCUUGCUCUCUUGGUGGCGAGUGGCGGACGGGUGAGUAAUAUAUCGGAACGUGCCCAGUAGCGGGGGAUAACUACUCGAAAGAGUGGCUAAUACCGCAUACGCCCUACGGGGGAAAGGGGGGGAUCGCAAGACCUCUCACUAUUGGAGCGGCCGAUAUCGGAUUAGCUAGUUGGUGGGGUAAAGGCUCACCAAGGCAACGAUCCGUAGCUGGUUUGAGAGGACGACCAGCCACACUGGGACUGAGACACGGCCCAGACUCCUACGGGAGGCAGCAGUGGGGAAUUUUGGACAAUGGGGGAAACCCUGAUCCAGCCAUCCCGCGUGUAUGAUGAAGGCCUUCGGGUUGUAAAGUACUUUUGGCAGAGAAGAAAAGGCAUCCCCUAAUACGGGAUGCUGCUGACGGUAUCUGCAGAAUAAGCACCGGCUAACUACGUGCCAGCAGCCGCGGUAAUACGUAGGGUGCAAGCGUUAAUCGGAAUUACUGGGCGUAAAGCGUGUGUAGGCGGUUCGGAAAGAAAGAUGUGAAAUCCCAGGGCUCAACCUUGGAACUGCAUUUUUAACUGCCGAGCUAGAGUAUGUCAGAGGGGGGUAGAAUUCCACGUGUAGCAGUGAAAUGCGUAGAUAUGUGGAGGAAUACCGAUGGCGAAGGCAGCCCCCUGGGAUAAUACUGACGCUCAGACACGAAAGCGUGGGGAGCAGACAGGAUUAGAUACCCUGGUAGUCCACGCCCUAAACGAUGUCAACUAGCUGUUGGGGCCGUUAGGCCUUAGUAGCGCAGCUAACGCGUGAAGUUGACCGCCUGGGGAGUACGGUCGCAAGAUUAAGACUCAAAGGAAUUGACGGGGACCCGCACAAGCGGUGGAUGAUGUGGAUUAAUUCGAUGCAACGCGAAAAACCUUACCUACCCUUGACAUGUCUGGAAUGCCGAAGAGAUUUGGCAGUGCUCGCAAGAGAACCGGAACACAGGUGCUGCAUGGCUGUCGUCAGCUCGUGUCGUGAGAUGUUGGGUUAAGUCCCGCGACGAGCGCAACCCUUGUCAUUAGUUGCUACGCAAGAGCACUCUAAUGAGACUGCCGGUGACAAACCGGAGGAAGGUGGGGAUGACGUCAAGUCCUCAUGGCCCUUAUGGGUAGGGCUUCACACGUCAUACAAUGGUCGGGACAGAGGGUCGCCAACCCGCGAGGGGGAGCCAAUCUCAGAAACCCGAUCGUAGUCCGGAUCGCAGUCUGCAACUCGACUGCGUGAAGUCGGAAUCGCUAGUAAUCGCGGAUCAGAAUGUCGCGGUGAAUACGUUCCCGGGUCUUGUACUCACCGCCCGUCA